CGACAACGAGGAAAGACAGCCGGUCCCCUCUGAACGGUAUAUAAUAUGAAACUUUAAGUCUCGUUCAGGUAGUGUGUAAGUCAAAAAUUCGAUGGGACUCGCAUCCGUCGUCCUCGCGCGGUCUUUCGUCCCGAUAUCCAGAAGCAGAAGUUUGAAAAACUCUAGCGACGGCACGGGUGUCCGACUCACGACAACGAGGAAAGACAGCCGGUCCCCUCUGAACGGUAUAUUAUAUGAAACUUUAAGUCUCGUUCAGGUAGUGUGUAAGUCAAAAAUUCGAUGGGACUCGCAUCCGUCGUCCUCGCGCGGUCUUUCGUCCCGAUAUCCAGAAGCAGAGUUUGAAAAACUCUAGCGACGGCACGGGUGUCCGACUCACGACAACGAGGAUAGACAGCCGGUCCCCUCUGAACGGUAUAUAAUAUGAAACUUUAAGUCUCGUUCAGGUAGUGUGUAAGUCAAAAAUUCGAUGGGACUCGCAUCCGUCGUCCUCGCGCGGUCUUUCGUCCCGAUAUCCAGAAGCAGAGUUUGAAAAACUCUAGCGACGGCACGGGUGUCCGACUCACGACAACGAGGAUAGACAGCCGGUCCCCUCUGAACGGUAUAUAAUAUGAAACUUUAAGUCUCGUUCAGGUAGUGUGUAAGUCAAAAAUUCGAUGGGACUCGCAUCCGUCGUCCUCGCGCGGUCUUUCGUCCCGAUAUCCAGAAGCAGAGUUUGAAAAACUCUAGCGACGGCACGGGUGUCCGACUCACGACAACGAGGAUAGACAGCCGGUCCCCUCUGAACGGUAUAUAAUAUACAUUAUGCGACGGUAGACGAUCAACUAGACGAAACUUUAGUCUCGUUCAGGUGGUGUAAAAAAAAUUCGAUGGGAUACGCACGCACGGCUGUCGUCGUCCUCGAGCGGUCUUUCGUCCCAAUAUCCAGAAGCAGAAGUUUGAAAAACUCU
Long non-coding RNA from Bombus huntii, 947 nucleotides. RefSeq lists it as uncharacterized. The transcript has 3 exons. The record is from RefSeq and is a predicted model, not a curated record. Lineage: Eukaryota; Metazoa; Arthropoda; Insecta; Hymenoptera; Apidae.